CCGACGGGAGCUUGCUCCCUUAGGUCAGCGGCGGACGGGUGAGUAACACGUGGGUAACCUGCCUGUAAGACUGGGAUAACUCCGGGAAACCGGGGCUAAUACCGGAUGCUUGAUUGAACCGCAUGGUUCAAUCAUAAAAGGUGGCUUUUAGCUACCACUUACAGAUGGACCCGCGGCGCAUUAGCUAGUUGGUGAGGUAACGGCUCACCAAGGCGACGAUGCGUAGCCGACCUGAGAGGGUGAUCGGCCACACUGGGACUGAGACACGGCCCAGACUCCUACGGGAGGCAGCAGUAGGGAAUCUUCCGCAAUGGACGAAAGUCUGACGGAGCAACGCCGCGUGAGUGAUGAAGGUUUUCGGAUCGUAAAACUCUGUUGUUAGGGAAGAACAAGUACCGUUCGAAUAGGGCGGCACCUUGACGGUACCUAACCAGAAAGCCACGGCUAACUACGUGCCAGCAGCCGCGGUAAUACGUAGGUGGCAAGCGUUGUCCGGAAUUAUUGGGCGUAAAGCGCGCGCAGGCGGUUUCUUAAGUCUGAUGUGAAAGCCCCCGGCUCAACCGGGGAGGGUCAUUGGAAACUGGGGAACUUGAGUGCAGAAGAGGAGAGUGGAAUUCCCCGUGUAGCGGUGAAAAAUGGCGUGAGAUGGGGGAGGAAACCCCGGGGGCGAAAGGCGAACUCCUCUGGG
This 688-nucleotide ribosomal RNA is filed under the name Bacillus sp. (in: firmicutes). RNAcentral's name for it is "bacterial SSU rRNA". It matches the Rfam family "Bacterial small subunit ribosomal RNA", at positions 69 to 733 of the family's 1533-position model. The record is from RNAcentral. Lineage: Bacteria; Bacillati; Bacillota; Bacilli; Caryophanales; Bacillaceae.